UGUUUUUCCUCGUCAACACGGUCUGUUUCAUGGUUUUGUCAAACCGUCGGUUUAGUUUGAUUUUUAAGUCGGUACUAGUAUACAAAAUUCUAUAUAUGAUCUAAUCCUUUUACGAGAUAUUUAAUUUGGGACAUUUGUUCAAUAAUAAGUUAACAAACAUUUUUAGAUUGGUACAUUUGUCAUGUUUGUUGAUUACUUUUAAUUGAUCAAAACCUAACUUUUGACAUUUCAAAACCGUCGUUUAUCUCGCGUUAACGUGUACAAAUAUAACCUGAAUAUUUUGCCUUUAACGUGUCGUGUUACAUAUGAUGAUCUCUAGAUAUUAAAUUUAACUGAUAUUUAUGUAAUUAACAUGGGUUUAAUUUUCAUAUUAUUACUAACCUUCACGUGAUUCUUGUAGAAUUGCUUGACAGCUGAGUUUGUGUAGAAUUCAUCCGGUUCAUCUAAACCGGCCCAUUCCACGUACUUUUUUCUCCCUCCAUAGUCUUCGAAAUUAUUGACUAAACUAAUUAUCAAUUUAAUAUUAAAUCGUCCAGCUUCAUAGACGACAAAGUCUAGCCCCUGCUGUCACAAAACUUUGUAUCAGUAUUAGUACUCAUAAAACCCAAUUACAAUUUGUUGUUAGUUUUUCUAUCAAUCAAUUGUGAGAGUCUCUUUAUUAGGUCAACAAAAAUUAAAGGUGUCUAGUACCAAAUUAUGCUUCUAAUUAAUAUAAAUAUGAUUAACAAUGUGAAAGUCUAUCUAUGCUUUUGUCAUUUUUUGCGAUUAUCCACUUUAUAUUAGCGUAUGAAAAGGAGUAGACGACGAUUUUUUUACGAGAAAAAAAACAAAAAGGUUUGAAGGUCUUAUGUCGGAAGUAUAA
This is a long non-coding RNA of Arabidopsis thaliana (thale cress), 862 nucleotides long. RefSeq annotates it as other RNA. The transcript has a single exon. The record is from RefSeq. NCBI's taxonomy places the organism in Eukaryota, Viridiplantae, Streptophyta, Magnoliopsida, Brassicales, Brassicaceae.